Molecule: ribosomal RNA, 1498 nt
Filed under: uncultured bacterium
Lineage: Bacteria
Description: bacterial SSU rRNA
Rfam family: Bacterial small subunit ribosomal RNA
Source: RNAcentral
UGGUUCGAUCAUGGCUCAGGAUGAACGCUGGCGGCAUGCCUAAUACAUGCAAGUCGAACGGAGUGAAGCCUUCGGGUUUCAUUCAGUGGCGAACGGGUGAGUAAUACGCAGGGAACCUGGCCAUGGCAGGGGGAUACACUCUGGAAACGGAGCAUAAGACCCCAUAGGCAGUAAGGCGGCAUCGCCUUACUGUUAAAGAAAGCUGAAAGGCUUUGGCGAUGGAUGGACCUGCGGUGCAUUAGCUUGUUGGUGAGGCAACGGCUUACCAAGGCGAUGAUGCAUAGCCGGCCUGAGAGGGCGGACGGCCACACUGGGACUGAGACACGGCCCAGACUCCUGCGGGAGGCAGCAGUAGGGAAUUUUCGUCAAUGGGCGCAAGCCUGAACGAGCAAUGCCGCGUGAGUGAGGAAGGUCUUCGGACUGUAAAGCUCUGUUGCCGGGGAAAAAGGGGAAAUGCAGGAAAUGGCAUUUCAUGGAUGGUACCCGGCCAGAAAGCCACGGCUAACUACGUGCCAGCAGCCGCGGUAAUACGUAGGUGGCGAGCGUUAUCCGGAAUGAUUGGGCGUAAAGGGUGCGCAGGCGGUCUGUUAAGUCUGAAGGCAAAGGGAUGAGCUCAACUCAUUUAUGAUUCAGAAACUGGCAGACUUGAGGACAGGAGAGGGCGGUGGAACUCCAUGUGUAGCGGUAAAAUGCGCAGAGAUAUGGAAGAACACCAGUGGCGAAGGCGGCCGCCUGGCCUGUGACUGACGCUGAGGCACGAAAGCGUGGGGAGCAAAUAGGAUUAGAUACCCUAGUAGUCCACGCCGUAAACGAUGAGGAGCAGGUGUUGGGAGUGAAAUCUCAGUGCCGAAGCCAACGCAGUGACUCCUCCGCCUGGGGAGUAUGCACGCAAGUGUGAAACUCAAAGGAAUUGACGGGGGCCCGCACAAGCGGUGGAGUAUGUGGUUUAAUUCGAAGCAACGCGAAGAACCUUACCAGGUUUUGACAUCGGAUGCGAAGGUGCAGAGAUGCGCUGGAGGCUAUCAUCCAGACAGGUGGUGCAUGGUUGUCGUCAGCUCGUGUCGUGAGAUGUUCAGUUAAGUCUGGCAACGAGCGCAACCCCCGUGGUAUGUUACUAACGCUUAGGGCGAGGACUCAUAUCAGACUGCCGGUGACAAACCGGAGGAAGGCGGGGAUGACGUCAAAUCAUCAUGCCCCUUAUGACCUGGGCUACACACGUACUACAAUGGCGUCUACAGAGGGAAGCGACCCUGAGAAGGGAAGCGAAACCGGAAAAGGGCGUCCCAGUUCGGAUUGAAGUCUGCAACCCGACUUCAUGAAGAUGGAAUCGCUAGUAAUCGCGGAUCAGCAUGCCGCGGUGAAUACGUUCCCGGGCCUUGUACACACCGCCCGUCAAACCAUGGAAGCCGGCAACGCCCGAAGCCGGUGGCAUAACCUUUUAGGAGUGAGCCGUCGAAGGCGGGGCCGAUGACUGGGGUUAAGUCGUAAAAAGGUAUCC